UAUGACCUAAAGAUCGGAUUCCCCAAUUCCUCCUUUUGUUUCCUCCUUUCCGAAGACGGAUCCAAUUUCGGGUCGGUCGGUGGACCCGGACCCGAUGAUUCCAGAAUAAAAAAGAAAACCCUGGAAGCCCUAGAGAAAUUGUCUCCAGUUCACACAGAUCCAGGAGAGAUGUCGACGAUGGGUCCAGAAGAGGUGACAGAAGCGGGAGGAGGAGGAGGAGGAGGAGGAGGAGAGAGGUCGAUGAGGGGUCCGGAAGAAGACAGGGAUGCGAUGAUAGCGGAGGCCAAGCGGUUCGUGGAGAACUACUACAGCACGUUCGACGCGAACAGGGAGGGCUUGGUGAACCUGUACCGGCGACGAUCGGUGCUGAUUUUCGGCGGCCGGAAGAUCCAGGGCAAGGAGGCUAUCCUCGCCAAACUCACCUCCCUUCCGCAGCCGUGCCACCACGAAAUCGCCGAGUUCGAGUGCAGGACCUAUCGCUUGGCACCCGCAUCGGCAUCGGUCGCCGUGUCCGUCCUGGUCCGCGGCGGGACGUGGUUAGGCGGCAAGAAGGAGGAGGCGGACGCCGCCCUUAUAGAGCAGGUCUCUCUCUUUCUCUCGAAGUUAUUAUUUCUUGUCAACGCUUUGCAAGAAAUAAUACCGAGAGUACAUCUCAAGCUCCUUGUCUAACGCUCUGGCGGGCUCUGAUUCUUACCUUCAGAGCUUCGAUCUGGUGCCAGCACGACAAGGAAGCUUUUACAUAGCUCAACAAUCUGGGAUGUUCUUUGAUCUCAAGAAGCCUCGGACCGGGCGUAUGUCCACCUGGGUACCGAAACUUCCCGCCUCGGGAACGCCCAUGUAUGACUCGUUAUUUCAAAUGCUCAGCUCGGCAUACCCGCCGACGUCGGCUGCCACGGCACCGAGUACGCCUCCGCAUUUCGAACGCCUCAGCAUUUCGAAUCCGAAUACCCAUGAUGAAACUUCCUCCGUCUCUACAGAGACCUGAUGAUAAAACUGUUUUAUUUUCAAUGUUCUAGACUCUUGUUUUAUUUUCAAUGUUUCAUUGCAGUACUUUUGUGAAUACGUAUUGGAUUCAUGUUCGAAUCCAAGUUCAGCAUAUGUCAUACUGCUCUUAUGAACUGAACUCAGUGGCAGGGCCUUCUAAUUCUCGUGGUAAUAUGUUGCUCAGUAAAGUUGACUUGAUGUUUCAUGACAUUAGCAGUGAGGAAGUUUAAUAUUUAAGAAUAUGACUACAUAAGCAAUUACCAUCGCCCGACUUUUAGCACAAUUAAAAGCCGAUGGAUAUACAUAAUGGUGGCGCAGGGAAGUCCUAAUCUGAGAGCAUAUGCUCAUGAGAAAUGCGGUAUGCACUAGAAAGUACAUUGAAAUUUGGUUACUAAAUGACAUGAUAACUGAUUAUUGUUGGAUGAAAUAUGUUCACCGGACCCUACUCUUUAGAUAUUUGGUAAUUCAUAAUUAAAGCAGCUCAUAUGAGCUGGUAAAUCAUUUAGUAAAAGAAUAUCACAGCAAAUACUUUGUACCCUAACAUUGCUUUAUGUCCAUAUAAAGUGAGCUUGACUCAUUUAGCGUGAAACAAUACUCUCAGUAAAAUACCUAACACCGACUUGUGACACCUAAAGCUACACAUGAUAAAAUUUCUAUUCUCUGGUCUUCGAAACAGAUUUGGAACAGAAAUCCGUUUGGUAAUGUAAUUUGAUUUUUCUAUUUCUAGAACAAAUUUCUAUUCCAUAAAUUGAUUUGAAGGAGAAACCUGAAGUUAAAAUUUUUAACUUCUCAAAAUCCGUUUGGUAAUAUAAUUUGAUUUUUCUAUUUCUAGAACAAAUUUCUAUUCCAUAAAUUGAUUUGAAGGAGAAACCUGAAGUUAAAAUUUUUAACUUCUCAAUUUCUAGUAAGAAAUUAAUUUCCGUUCUAGAAAUUUUGUUGUGCGCACCAUAAAAGAUUAGGUUUGUUGACUUUUAGUCAAUUAAUGGAUUUGAGAACCUCUGCCCCAUAGAGGCAGGCAAAAGCAUUUGGAACAAUUCUGCUUGACACCUUUUUUCAUGUUUGUCGGUACCCGCUGACAACUUAAAACACAUGAAACCAAAAAUAUUGGCCCCGGAGGUUUCCGUGCAUUCUUUUUACCUUGUCGAUGCGCAUGCCACUUGCCGGCUGGAGAAGAUGACUCACUUGCAGUUCAGGUGCCUAAAGUAUUAAACAAAAACCAAACCAAAGAAUCCUUGCUUGUCAAGUUGGUUGACAGAUAAUGCAUUUGAAGGAUCCAUGAAGACCAUAUAGCCCAUAGAAAAUAUUAGGUACCCUAAGAGUGCCACACAAUUUUUGUUCUGAAUUAUUCAGAGCAUGACACAUGUCCAUCUCUCUUCCACAUCAUCCCACUCUCUCAUUUGUAGUCCCUCUUUGUUAAUGCUUUGACGCUCUCUCUCCUCUGCUCUCCUCUGUAGACGGUCUCUCUCCUCUCUCUCCUCUAUGUCUCUCGCUUCCAUCACCCCUCAUCAAGUGAAACGCGAUGCCAACGGCCCUCCACCUUUAAUGGUUGCCUCCGUUGCCCCCGACUUUGACGCCAACGCAGCCUCUGCCUCCUCUCUUGAACCCGACUCUGACACCAACACCCCUUUGCCUCCCUCUUGCUACCUCUAGUCCUCUCUCUCUCUCUCUCUCUCUCUCUCUCUCGUCCUCAAAGUCGCGUCUCUCUUCCAGCAAACCACAAUGCUGACGCCCCUCUGCCAGUUGCCUCCGUCGCCCUCGACUCAGACACCAACGCCUCUACCUCUGCUUCUGCCUCCACUUACGUGCCUAAUGCCAACGAACCCUUGCUCGCGUUUUGACCUUCCUCUCUGCAAACGAAGGUCGCUCUGCUCACUCUUUCUCUCUUUCCUCCACAAAGCACCCCUGCUCUUGAACGCGGACGCCGCCGACGCCGUUGCCUCCCACCAUUGCCUUCCCAAGCCCCACUGAUAGAGAGAUUGUCUGCAAUUUUGUUCUCAGCAAUUUUUUUUUCCCCGCAACGGAAGAGAGAACGGGGAGAGAGAUAGUUUGCAGAGGAGAGAGAGCGUUAGAGCAGUGGGCCAGGGACUAUGGAAGAGAAGAGAGAGUGGGAUGGCGUGGGAGAGAGACGAACAUGUGUCAUGCUUUGAAUGGUUUAGAGUAAAAAUUGGGUGGCACUCUUAGGGUACCUAAUAUUUUCUCAUCAUUCUAUACAACCACCUUGACACGAAUUAUGAGAGGGUAGAGUGGCUUGACAACCUCUGUAACACGAAGACGACAAGAAUGACUUUCAGACAACAACCUUGUUGCAGAGCCGGGCGACAACUCCAUACCUUCUCAACCCUCAGAUAUGUCCUAGCAUUCACUGGAUGGAAUAGUAGACAAUUGUGAUAUCAGCAUAUCAAUCCAACAAUUUCCGGUAAAAUCUUUACUUAGCGCCAAUCCAACUGUAUCUGCAGUAUCAGGACUCAUAACAAAUGAGGGGCCGUAGAAAUUUUACCUAUUCGGGGUACUGUUUCGCCAAAUUUCCCUCUCGACCGCUCCGCCAGAGCUUCGCAUUCUCUCUAAUGAAACAAAUCCCUCACUCCAAUACUCAUUGCGACAAUCUCCCUCCUCGUUCUACUAUCCUCAACAUCCCCAACUCUCUCCCAAACCAUAUCACACUCGUCCUCCAAUUUGCUCAAGUGUCUCCUCAAAUUCACCCGCUUUUGCAGCCAUCUUCUCAUUCUCCCUCUUCACUCUCAUCGCCUCAUCAACAAUCUCCUCUGACCCCCUAACGAACCCCUCUUUCUCUCUCAUCAAUUCCCUCAGCUCCUCGUACGUACCCCCGCCCGCAUUGUGUCCUCCUGCAAUUGCCGUUUUUCCAAUUUCACCGCCUUCAUCGCCACCUCCACCUCCUCGACACGCCCCUCCCCUCUCCUAAUCACAUCCAUACAUCUGAGAACCACCGAAACCUUCUCCAGCAAUCUCUUCGUGCAAUUCCAAUACUCGUGCCAUUUCACGUCCGACCGCUCCUCAAUUUUCUCCAAAUUCAGGCGUAGAAGGGGCUGAACUGGAAAAAGAAAAAACAAGGGGGGGCUUUCUAGUCUUUUCAGCCGAAAGAACCGGUUUCGGGUCGGUCGGUGGAUCCGGACCCGAUGAUUCCAAAAUAAAAAAGAAAACCCUGGAAGCCCUAGAGAAAUUGUCUCCAGUUCACACAGAUCCAGCAGGAGGAGAUGUCGACGAUCGGUCCAGAAGACGUGACAGAAGCGGAAGGAGGAGGAGGAGGAGAGAUGUCGAUGGUGGGUCCGGAAGAAGACAGGGAUCCGAUGAUAGCGGAGGCCGAGCGGUUCGUGGAGAACUACUACAGCACGUUCGACGCGAACAGGGAGGGCUUGGUGAACCUGUACCGGCAACGAUCGGUGCUGAUUUUCGGCGGCCGGAAGAUCCAGGGCAAGGAGGCUAUCCUCGCCAAACUCACCUCCCUUCCGCAGCCGUGCCACCACGAAAUCGCCGAGUUCGAGUGCAGGACCUAUCGCUUGGCACCCGCAUCGGUCGCCGUGUUCGUCGGGGUCCGCGGCGGGACGUGGGUAGGCGGCAAGAAGGAGGAGGCGGACGGCGCCCUUAUACAGCAGGUCUCUCUCUUUCUCUCUAAGUUAUUAUUUCUUGUCUACGCUUUGCAAUUUCUCUAUCGAUCAAUCCAUUAAUCAAUCGCAUCGCGCAUAAAUACCGAGAGUACGUCUCAAGCUCCUUGUCUAACGCUCUGGCUGGCUCUGAUUCUUACCUUCAGAGCUUCGAUCUGGUGCCAGCACGACAAGGAAGCUUUUACAUAGCUGAACAAUCUGGGAUGUUCUUUGAUCUCAAGAAGCCUCGGACCGGGCGUAUGUCAACCUGGGUACCGAAACUUCCCGCCUCGGGAACGCCCAUGUAUGCCUCGUUAUUUCAAAUGCUCAGCUCGGCAUACCCGCCGACGUCGGCUGCCACGGCACCGAGUACGCCUCCGCAUUUCGAACGCCUCAGCAUUUCGAAUCCGAAUACCCAUGAUGAAACUUCCUCCGUCUCUACAGAGACCUGAUGAUAAAACUGUUUUAUUUUCAAUGUUCUAGACUCUUGUUUUAUUUUCAAUGUUUCAGUGCAGUACUUUUGUGAAUAGGUAUUGGAUUCAUGUUCGAAUCCAAGUUCAGCAUAUGUUAGAGUCAGAUUGCAGUUAUGAACUCAGUGGUAGGGCCUUCUAAUUCUCGUGGUAAUGUGUUGCUCAGUAAAGUUGACUUGAUGUUUCAUGACAUUAGCGGUGAGGAAGUUUAAAAUUUAAGAAUAUGACUACAUAAGCAAUUACCAUCGCGCGACUUUUACCACAAUUAAAAGCCAGAUGGAUAUACAUAAUGGUGCGCAGGGAAGUCCUAAUCUGAGAGCAUAUGCUCAUGAGAAAUGCGGUAUGCACUAAGAAAGUGCAUUGAACUAAAUGACAUGAUAACUGAUUAUUGUUGGAUGAAAUAUGUUCACCGGACCCUACUCUUUAGAUAUUUGGUAAUUCAUAAUUAAAGCAGCUCAUAUGAGCUGGUAAAUCAUUUAGUAAAAGAAUAUCACAGAAAAUACUUCGUACCCUAACAUUGCUUUAUGUCCAUAUAAAGUGAGCUUGAAUUAUUUAGCGUGAAACAAUACUCUCAGUAAAAUACCUAACACUGACUUGUGACAUCUAAAGUUACGUAGGAUAAAAUUUCUAUUCUCUGUUCUUCUAAACAGGUUUAGAAUAGAAAUUCGUUUGGUAAUGUAAUUUGAUUUUUUUUAUUUCUAGAAUAAAUUUCUAUUCCAGAAAUUGAUUUGAAUGAGAAAUCAGAAGCUAAAAUUUUUAAUUUUUCAAUUUUUGGCCAAAAAUUGAUUUCCGUUCUAGAAAUUUAAUUUUGUCGUGUGCACACUAAAAGACUAGGUUUGUUGACUUUUAGUCAAUUAAUGGAUUUGAGAACCUCUGCCCCAUAGAGGCAGGCAAAAGCAUUUGGAACAAUUCUGCUUCACCUUUGCCAAGAAUCUCUACCCCCCUUGACACCUUUCUUCAUGUUUGCCGGUACCCGCUAACAACUUAAAACACAUGAAACCAAAAAUAUUGGCCCUGGAGGUUUCCGUAUUCUUUUUACCUUGUCGAUGUGCAUGCCACUUGCCGGCUGGAGAAGAUGACUCACUUUUAGUUGAGGUGCCUAAAGUAUUAAACAAAAACCAAACCAAAGAAUCAUUUGCUUGUCAAGUUGGCUGACAGAUAAUGCAUUUGAAGGAUCCAUGAAGACCAUAUAGCCCAUCAUUCUAUGAGAAAAUAUUAGGUACCCUAAGAGUGCCACGCAAUGUUUGCUUUGAAUUAUUCAGAGCAUGACACAUGUCCAUCUCUCUUUCACGUCAUCCCACUCUCUCUUCUAUAGUCCCUCUUUGACGCUCUCUCUCCUCUGCUCUCCUCUGUAGACGGUCUCUCUUCUCUCUCUCCUCUAUGUCUCUCGCUUCCAUCGCCCAUCAUCAAGCGAAACGCGACGCCGACGGCCCUCCACCUCAGCUAGUUGCCUCCAUUGCCCCCGACUUUGACGUCGAUGUCGACGUCAACGCAGCCUCUGCCUCCUCUCCUAAACCCGACUCUGACACCAACACCCCUCCGCCUCUCUCUUGCUACCUCUAGUCCCCACCCCCUCUCUCUCUCUCUCUCUCUCUCUCUCUCUCUCUCUCUCUCUCUCUCUCUCUCUUGUCCUCGAAGUCGCGUCUCUCUUCCAGCAAACCACAACACUGACACUCCUCCGCCAGUUGCCUCUGUUGCCCUCGACUCAGACACCAACGCCUCUACCUCCGCCUCCGCCUCCACUUAUGUGCCUAACGCCAACGAACCCUUGCUCGCGUUUUGACCUCCCUCUUUGCAAGCGAAGGUCGCUCUGCUCGCUCUUUCUCUCUUUCCUCCAUGAAGCACCCCUACUCUUGAACGCUGACACCGCCAACGCUGUUGCCUCCCACCAUUGCCUUCUCAAGCCACACUAAUAGAGAGAUUGUCUGCAAUUUUGUUCUCCGCAAUUUUGUUCUCUCCGCAACGGAACAGAGAACAGGGAGAGAGAGUUCGCAGAGGAGAGCAGAGGAGAGAGAGCGUUAGAGCAGUGGGCCAGGGACUAUGGAAGAGAGAGUGGGACGGCGUGGGAGAGAGACGGACAUGUGUCAUGCUCUGAAUGAUUUAGAGUAAAAAUUGGGUGGCACUCUUAGGGUACCAAAUAUUUUUUCAUCAUUCUAUACAACCACCUUGACACGAAUUAUGAGAGGGUAGAGUGGCUUGACAACCUUUGUAACACAAAGACGACAAGAAUGACUUUCGGACAAAAACCUCAACUCCAUACCUUCUCAACCCUCAGAUAUGUCCUAGCAUUCACUGGAUGGAAUAGUAGACAAUUGUGGUAUCAGCAUAUUAAUUUGACAAUUUGCGGUAAAAUCUUUACUUAGCUCCAAUCCAACUGUAUCUGCAGUAUCAGGACUCAUAACAAAUGAGGGGCCGUAGAAAUUUUACCUAUUCGGGGUACUGUUUCCCCAAAUUUCCCUCUCGACCGCUCCACCAGAGCUUCGCAUUCUCUCUAAUGAAACGAAUCCCUCACUCCAAUACUCAUUGCGACAAUCUCCCUCCUCGUUCUACUGUCCUCAACAUCCCCAGCUCUCUCCCAAACCAUAUCACACUCGUCCUCCAAUUUGCUCAAGGUCUCCUCAAAUUCACCCGCUUUUGCAGCCAUCUUCUCAUUCUCCCUCUUCACUCUCAUCGCCUCAUCAACAAUCUCCUCUGACCCCCUAACGAACCCCUCUUUCUCUCUCUUCAAUUCCCUCAGCUCCUCGUACGUACCCCGCCCGCAUUGUCUCCUCUUCCUGCAAUUGCCGUUUUUCCAAUUUCACCGCCUUCAUCGCCACCUCCACCUCCACCUCCACCUCCUCGACACGCCCCUCCCCUCUCCUAAUCACAUCCAUACAUCUGAGAACCACCGAAACCUUCUCCAGCAAUCACUUCGUGCAAUUCCAAUACUCGUGCCCUCUCACUUCCGACCGCUCCUCAAUUUUCUCCAAAUUCAGGCGAAGAAGGGGCUGAACUGGAAAAAGAAAAAACAAGGGGGGGCUUUCUAGUCUUUUCAGCCGACGGAGAACCGGUUUCGGGUAGGUCGGUGGAUCCGGACCCGAUGAUUCCAGAAUAAAAGAAAGAAAACCCUGGAAGCCCUAGAGAAAUUGUCUCCAGUUCACACAGAUCCAGGAGAGAUGUCGACGAUGGGUCCAGAAGAGGUGACAGAAGCGGAAGGAGGAGGAGGAGAGAUGUCGAUGAGGGGUCCGGAAGAAGACAGGGAUGCGAUGAUAGCGGAGGCCAAGCGGUUCGUGGAGAACUACUACAGCACGUUCGACGCGAACAGGGAGGGCUUGGUGAACCUGUACCGGCAACGAUCGGUGCUGAAAAUCGAGGGCCGGAAGAUCCAGGGCAAGGAGGCUAUCCUCGCCAAACUCAUCUCCCUUCCGCAGCCGUGCCACCACGAAUUCCCCGAGAUCAGUUGCUGCACCUAUCGCUUGGCACCCGCAUCGGCAUCGGUCGCCGUGCGCGUCCUGGUCCGCGGCGGGACGUGGUUAGGCGGCAAGAAGGAGGAGGCGGACGCCGCCCUUAUACAGCAGGUCUCUCUCGUUCUCUCUAAGUUAUUAUUUCUUGUCAACGCUUUGCAAUUUCUCUUAUCGAUCAAUCCGUUAAUCAAUCGCAUCGCGCAUAAAUACCGAGAGUACAUCUCAAGCUCCUUGUCUAACGCUCUGGCUGGCUCUGAUUCUUAACCUUCAGAGCUUCAAUCUGGUGCCAGCACGAGGAGGAAGCUUUUACAUAGCUCGACAAUCUGGGAUGCUCUUUGAUCUCAAGAAGCCUCGGUCCGGGGGUCUGUCCUACUGGCUACCGAAACCUCCCUGCUCGGCAGCGCCCUUUCUUGGCCCGUUAUAUCAAAUCCUAUCCUCGGCAUACCCGCCGACGUCGGCUGCCACGGCACCGAGUACGCCUCCGCAUUUCGAACGCCUCAGCAUUUCGAAUCCGAAUGCCACCCAUGAUGAAACUUCCUCCGUCUCUACAGAGACCUGAUGAUAAAACUGUUUUACUUUCAAUGUUCUAGACUCUUGUUUUAUUUUCAAUGUUUUGUUGCACUACUUUUGUGAAUACGUAUUGGAUUCAUGUUCGAAUCCAAGUUCAGCAUAUGUCAUACUGCUCUUAUGAACUGAACUCAGUGGCAGGGCCUUCUAAUUCUCGUGGUAAUAUACUUAAUGCUUCAUGACAUUAGCAGUGAGGAUGUUAAUAUGAUGGACAUACAUGAUGGUGGCGCAAUACCUCGCCCAUGCUUCUAGAGGAAAUAACUUUUCUUUUAACAUACAAGUUUUAUUUCAUGACUUUAAUAUAGUACAGAUAAUCAUGAGUUAAGAUAAAAAUAAAUAGGGAGCAAUUUACAUUUUGGCCGCCAUCGGCGAAAUGGAAGGUAGACAGAUGACUCUAGGACUAGAAUAUUAUAGUAAAUACUUUGUAUCCCUAGUAUUGUUUUAUGUCCGUAUAAAUUGAACCCGACUCAUUCAGCACGAAACACUCUCAAUAGAAUUCCUAACACCAACUCGCGACACCUAAAAGACUAGGAUUGCCGACUUAUAGUCAUCUGACAAAACCAGGAUUUGAGAACCUCUGCCCAUAUAGGCAAAGGCAUUUGGAACAAUUCUGACAAAAUCAGGAUUUGAGAACCUUUGCCCAUAUAGGCAAAAGCAUUCGACAAAACCCGGAUUUGAGAACCUCUGCCUAUAUAGGCAAAGGCAUUUGAAACAAUUAUGACAAAAUCAGGAUUUGAGAACCUCCGCCCAUAUAGGCAAAAGCAUUCAGAACAAUUCUACUUCACCUUGCCGAGAUCUCUCUCUCUCUCUCUCUCUCUCUCUCUCUCUCUCUCUCUCCUCAUGUCAGCCACUACCCGGUGACAACUUAAACACAUGGAACCAAAAAUAUUGGCCCCCGAGGUCUCCGUGAAUUCUUUCAACUUUGUUCAUGCGCAUACCACUUGCAGUUCAGGUGCCUAAAGUAUUAGAAAAAACCAAAUCAAAUAAUCCUUGCCAGUCAAACUGGCUGAUAGAUAAUGCACUUGAAGGAUCCAUGAAGACCCACGAAGACCAUAUAAACCAUCAUUCGAUAUUGCCUUGACACAAAUUAUGGGAGGGUAGAGUGGCUUGACAGCCUCUGCAACAGAAGGACGACAAUACUGACUUUCAGACAACCCACCUUUUAGCAAAGUUGGGCGACAACCAUGGACCUGCUCAGCCCUCAAAUAUGCCCUAGCACUCCUUGGAGUAGACAAUUGCCCAUCAAUGAAUGCACGAAAGAAGUGAUACUGUAAAACAAAUCGAGGACAAAAACUUCAUGAACAUUUACUGGCUCAACGUGGCUGUUUAUUAUUUUUCCACCGAUUUUAUUGAUAACUGUCAAGAUUGUUGAGAGAAACAACAACAAAUUCAGGUAGCGGGUGUAUCGGGGAGCACAUUACACAAUGGACUUGAUCAUUUUCAUCCUCUGCUGGAGGGGGGAGAUUUCUUAGCCUCAGAUGGUUUGUCGAUGCCACAAUCAUGUUUGUUACACUUUGUCCGGAAUGAAUAAUUUACGUUACUGCAUUGCUCACACUUCCAACUACUCUCUGGCAUUUUUGUUUUGAAAGUCACUUUAUAAAUGAGUACCAAUAUAGACGAAUACGAGGCAAGCAACACGGCCAGUAGUGAUAACUUACUAUAGUUCUUUUCAGAGUUUGAAACCUGCAGUUGAAGAGCAUAAAAAUCUGUUAAUUUAAACCAAUAAGCACUCUUCAGCUGAAACAAAUUGGCUAGAGCAAAGUUAUAGCUCCGGAAUACGAUAAACACAUGAAAGAAAGCCACAAAGUUUAAUCUCCUCAAGCUGCUAAAUUGUUUGCCAAAGCAACACCGACCCAUGAUUCAGGCUUUGGAGCAUUGCACUCUUCACACCGUUCUAAAAGAGAAGUAAACAUUUCCACAAUCCGGGCACGUCCGAUCAUUAUCGCGUGUUGCAUCUACAACGUAUUUCAAGGAAAUCUAAUGUCAGUUGGAGAUAAACCGGUAUUCUUAUUGUUAAUUCUAAAAGCAAUCACCAGCACAUGGAAUACCAACCUGCCCCCUUCUUUUGAAGUUUAUCACCGGGGAAAAAUCCCGGCCGUGGUCCCUGGGAGAAUAAAUGCCAAAACAAUGACAUGCAGAAUAUCUGAAAUAGUGAAAAGGAAAAAGCAGCAACAUCCAAAGACAGAGAAAUUUCACAUAGAUCAUGCCACCGAACCCAUCGGAAGCCCCAGCCAUAUCUGUCCAUCAUAGGAGGCAUCCCAUACAUUCCACCUGAACCGAAUCCCUUAUGGGUCGUUUUUGUCAUAUGUUUCUUUUUUAAUUAUUCUUUUGCCAUUUGUCUCGUGUGUUUUCUUGCACUGUUGGUAUAGGUAUGUAAUACAGAUGCUUCCCUUACUGUUGGUAUCUAGUCAUAUAUAGUUUAAUGAACGAAAUCUCAAAUAAUUGGUAAAUCAUUGAAGGAAUGAUGAUUAUAUUAUGUCGGUAGUCUAAUACGCAAUAUAAUAGUCGGCAAUAUGCACCCGCUAUUUUGGGAUAGUGAUCUAAAUUUUCAUAAUCUCAUAUUAUACAACUCGUGAUGUGCUAUAAUCUUGAUUUCAAAUUAUAUCAAUCAAUGCUCGAAUUUCAAAUGCAAUUACUAUUUCAACUAUGCUGUUAAUUAUGUAAUAAAAAUAAAUUUAAUAGCAUAUUAUAUGACUAAGUACAGCCUAUUACCUUAAAUUAUUUAUUUAAUUUUACAUACCGAAUAGCGAUUUUUUGAUGAUAUAUAUAGAGUACUACACUCGCGAUCGAUAUUAGGUAAUAACUACCGUGACAUAGUAUUUGCUUUGAUGCAAUCCCACGUCAUACGCUUAACUUUUGAUCAUAAUCAAUAACUAAAUUAUUAAAAGUAUAAAUAAACAUUUGAUAGAACAUAUUGUGUAUACAAUAAUUUAUAUACAAUAAUUUAUAUAGGAAGCUAAACUCAUGAGUCAAAAUUAAUUUUGAUAUUCCUUCAAAUCUUGAUUUUAGGGAAGUAUUUUUAGAUUUCUGUUCUAUUUGGACCUGGAAGAGUUUAAUCGAAACGGGAGUAGUCGCAGGUAGAAUGCUUCCUGAUGCGGCCUUUUUGGGUUUGGCCCGUUUUGGGUGGGUGGGGAGGGGCAGAGUCGUGACUGAGUUGAGCCGCUUAGGGGCUAUUUGGGCUCUACUUAUUAAUCAAUCAUCAGAGCAUGAGCCUCUGGACUCAUGAUCACCACGUAAGCAGAAACCAUCUCAAGACAGAAAGAAAACCAGAUAGAGCUUGACGACAUUAGCUCAUAUGUGAAAGAACAGAGUCUAAUCCCCAUCGGAGGUUCCAUUUUAGCCAGGAUAGAACUUAAGCUCAACAGGUUGACAUUUAGGCAAGAGAUGAAGGAGAUGAGCAACCAUCUGUGGUAAGGGCUUGCAAGAAGCAAGAGACUCCAAGGACAAAUGGAAAAAGGGGUACUAAAAAAUUAAGAGAAUAGUUGGCUAGGAAAGGUCUCAUGAUGAUAAGAGAGGACAUAGACUUCUCCUUAAGUAUCAUGCGGAAGAAGCUAAAUAAUAUAAAGUGGCACCUGAGAAUAGACUCUUAACUUUACAAGUGACAUUCUAUCAUUCAGACCACCUGCUGUUAACAGAGGAGGAUUUAACUGUAUCAUGACAUAGAACAAAACAAAGCUACAAAAGUAAGCUAGACAGCUCCAGAUCUACCUAUCAAGAUUUCAAACUCAAGCGACUCCUCGACAAUGUUUUCUAGAACUCGAUGAUUUUUCUGUAACAUUCCCUUUGCUUUGCGACAAGCCAAAUAGUACAUCUGCGAAACAAGGAUCCAUCAAAGAAUCUUGCACUCGACCAGAGAUUUGCGGCUCUUUCAAUUUGGACUAUUGAAUAAUAGUAAGCCAGACAAAGCCUCAUAGCAACGGACAAAUGCCUUUUCGACUUUAGCAUGGUUGUUCCCCAUGCUCAAAGCUGUAACCUAGAGAAAUAGAAACGUACAAACAGAAUUAAGGUAAAGCGCAUCAAAGAUUCCCAGCUGGAACAUGAAGCUUCAAUACAUAACAGCGUCGAGAAUGAUCCGCAUUUGUCCAUUUCACAAUCAUAAAGUGCAUGCAAAAUGGACCGGAGAAGUACUGCACUACUGUGAUAGUAAAUUGCAGGACUGUCUCCGCCGGUACUUGUGGAUUCAAUCGUGCAAGAAGGGGGGACACCAUUUGCUUCUCAUCAAGCCCCCAACCGUACUGAAUGACCAUUCCUGUCGCCAUCCGUCACAGGUUAUGUAUCUUAAUAUAUAUGUCUACAUGUAUUCACCUUUCGCUGUGAGAGUUUUCUCAUGAAAGGUAAUCUAAGGUAGAGAACAUCGACAAACUUCUCAAAGCAUAAUGUUACAGGACCAACCUCUUGAGUUUGCUUCAGUUCGGAAGAAGAGAGAAAAUUCUUCCCCGGGAGGAAGUAGAAGCUGUGAAGCAACAUCCAAACCAAAGCAAAAUACAAGCUACUUUUCAAGGUAUGAUCUUAGUUCUGAGUUAGCAUUAACAGAGCCUUCACUCCGUGCCUCGGUGAUCUUUGUACAGCCAAUUCCCUGCAAGAAAGGGGUCAAAGUGAACGUCUUUAUAAGACCAAGGGCUCUAAAAUCCCAUAAGGCAUGCAUCUGCAAAUAACUUCUCCUGCGAAGAGGAGAACAAGAACAACCCAGGACACAUGUGGAUACGCUCAAUGUAGCACAAUGAUUAAAUUAAAUCUGCCAAAAUGCUCCAAUGACAGAUAAAGCCAUAAAUAGACAUCUCACGUCAUUGUGUUCGACUGUUUUGAUAUCCCGUUUCAUAUUAAACUCUUGAUCCUUAGAUACGACGGCAAGGAUCAUGGCCAACAAAAGCAUGGGACUGAUUCACUGAGUGCCCAGAUAAAGAAGGUAAUUUAUCAUUUCAAUAGCAUGAAUGGAUGACAGUACCACUGAAUGAAAAGUUCGAUAACGAACAACAUGCCAAUGCACAUAGCUUGUAAAGUGCCAGAAGGAAAAAGCACAAAAAAGAUUGAAAUGGCGAGCUGACAUCCAUGAAGGAUGACAUUCCCUGUUCAGCAGUAGAACAGGACCCCUAAAAUAGGAAUAAGGCUCUUGCAGGUACUUGCUCAUAAGCUUAAUAAGGCGCAUGCUAUUUCAUUACAAGAAAGAAAAAGAGGACAAUAACCUGCCACGAAGAUGGUUCAAGCCACAAAUUGUCGACUACAUCAAAGUUUGAUAGUCAAAGAGCUAUAAGGCCAUGACCAGCUGCCCAAACAGCAUGAGGGAACUUGGUUUCCUCUGUCCACUUUCAAAUCAUCCAUAUUAUGCAAGUCGCCUCGAAGAAACCAACGGAACUUGUACGCAUAAUGAUAUCAUCGUUUGUUCGCCGGUCUGGGUAUAUCAAGUUAGCUAAAUUUUUAGAACAAUGAUUCGUAUCUGAUAACCCUACCACCUUCUAUUUUUAACCACUGAAUUUGUUGUACUCCCGAUUCUUUAGAGUGCGCAAAAAAUAAAACAGCAGAAAUUUAUAGAUUAGAAUUUUGUCAAUUUUUAGAAUUGUUCGGAAGACAAUAGCCCGGGAUAGUCCAACAAACUAAUAGUAAGCAUCAAGGAGAAUUAAUUGAGCAUAACUCCAUUGUUUAUUUGGCCGUACGGUUCAAUUAGAUCAACGACAUUCUGUGAGUCCUCCUCAGUCAAUGUCAGCCCCAGAUGAUUCACCAGCAUUCGGCUAAUCUGCCUCACAACUUUCGUUUGCCGAAUCCAUUUAGGAACCAUAUUGCUCAAGGCCUAUGCAAAAUAAUGAGCGAAUAAUAUGCAUAUGGUAUAAAAUAUAUCACAUAAUGGGUAACCGCUCCAACCUCCAAAACUUCCAUUUUUACUCUCCUCCGAGAAUGAGAUUAGAGCACAAAGUCCCGGUGCUUAUUGGUUUUAGCAAAGAGAAAAUGAUCGAUUCAAGCAGAACUGAAUUUUGCUUCCCCUUACUCUUCGUCAAUUAUAAUUUAUUUUCCCUUUCCGCUGAACAAAAGAAAAAGGGACAUGCAGCCAGUUCCAUGGACCCCCGGGAAUCGGAUCGGGCAAAUCCGAAUCCAAAGCCGAAUAGGUUGGUUCCCAAUUUCACAAACUAGGACCCAGCCCCGUCUGGUCAAGUUCCCGGUUCCGGAGUGGGCCAAUUUAGCUCAGAAUCUACCCAUAAUCGGGUUCAAACAGUUCAGAGAAAAUUCAAAAUAACUUGGAAUUACCACCGCUCAAAGUUAGAAAAUCAAUCGUCAAAAAAAGUUAAAAAAUCAACAUCCCACUGAGAACCUUUCAGAUCAUCAUGUAACGUCAACUGAAAAUACAUUAGAUCAGAUCUAACGUAUUGUCUUCACUGACAUGUGCCGACUUUUGCCAACAAAUUGGAAGACGUUUAAUCCCCUUAAUCCCCUCGAUUUCUUCCUCGAUUCAAAAAUCUUCAAUCGGAAUUUAACUUUAUCAAUUCGCAAAGUUUCCAAAUCCAAUGGGGUGUCGGAACUUGUUCGGAGGUCUUGUGAGCAUGCAUCAAUCCCCGUUAGAUAUCAGAAUGAGGAGUCCAACAAGAGAAUACAGCUGAAAUCCAAGCGCCUCAAUUCUCAAGUCAAAUAUAAGCUAUCCAGAACUGCAAAUCCACCAGCGACUCCACCUUCAUGUGAUGAUGAUAUCUUUGUUCUCAUUAAAUAACCACACUGUUCAUUUACGAUGACAUUCUCUUUCUUCCUGGUAAGAUCAAUCUCAGAUUACCAUGAGCACAUCAAAUGCAUUUACAAACAUUGUCGCUGAAUUCACUAGUGCUAACACGUGCGAACAACGGUGCUGUAGAAGGCAUGAAAUAAAUUAAAAAAAGAAGCUUUGGUUAUCAGAUUUUCCCAUCCGACUCCAACUGCAAAGAUUAAAUUCCAAGUCAUUGAUUUUAAUUAAUCCGAGAUCACAUCCAUCAAACUAAUGAGAGAUGGAGCGACAUCAAAAAAUUACCUCACAUAAGCACCAUAUACCCCGAGUUCUGACAUGGCGUGAUCUUUAUAACAAAUGCCAUCACGAAUGAGAGUUGUGGGAGAAAUGGACGGAAAAAUUCUUUGCAUAAGGAUAUAGGCAGCAUCCUCCUCACUACCUUCACGUUGCAGCCUUAAUAGGGUUUCUCUCACGUCGUCGCCAUAGAUGUUGUUCCCUAAAGAGAGAAAUGACUUCAUUUUAGAAAGAAGAUAGCGCGGCUUAUAACAAAGCAAUCCUUGAAUAAUAUAAUCAAGGUGAGAGAUAAUUACCUCCCCCUUCCCUCUGGGGCUUCAUGACAAAUAGCUCGGGACUUUCAAUUGCUUUACCAACAAUAUGAGGGUCUUCUAAGCUCCAUAAACCUGCAAAGGAUUUCUGGAUCUCGGCAAUGUCUUCUUUGUUCUCAAGGAAUCUGAUAUAUGCACCAAUGGAGUCUCGUAAGUGAUCAAACACGUAGGAGAUAGAGUCUAUUCGACAGUGCAUCUUCUCCUGUAAUUAAAUUGACUUCUAAUGUUCCCAUCGAUAUGUUAUCGAGACUGUUCGGUAAGACAUAUGAAAGGAGCUAAAAUGGCCAUUUGGUAUUAAAAGUAGUCCUUAAUUCGCAGUCCUGGGUGCCAUUGAUUACAUCUAAGCUUCAAACUCAACUAAACAUCAUCAUAUUAGCUAUUGUUGUAUGCAUAGCACACAUCUAUAUACAUUUGUGCUUCAGGAGUUUUUCCAGGAAUGGUACGAUUCCAUAUAAAGCACAGAGCAUCCAGCGCCGCUGCUGGUGGCGCUGUCCUGCCUUCCUCCAUAUCCGGGAGCCCCACCUCCUCCAGUACCGCCUCCAGUAGUGCCUGUGCCCGGGAUCGGUCCUCCUCCAACUCCUCCGCUGCCUGUCCUUCAUCCAUGGCAUCUGGUUCCGUACGGAAGACGGAAAAUACAAGGGUUGCUCCCUGCUGUGCUGUCAUUUGCAGAAUAAAACUCUAGAGCAAAACACAAAUCAGUAUUCUUCCUAUUCCCAAAAAAAAGACAGCAAAAGAAAAGAGAAUACAUGGUUGAAGUUGUAUGGUAGCACAACUUCCUCUUCCCUCCCAUACUGUCCACCAAAGGAGGCGUAGAUGCGUUGAGCGACGUGGUCAACGAACGCAUCGAACUCAUCCAAAUUGAACUUGAAACUAUCCAAGCCGUUCACAAAUGCAGCAAUGGCGUCUGGGGUCCCAAGACGGACCCCAUCAAAAUCCAUGCUCGCUUCAUCAUAAAAGCUUAUCAGCUCUUGCCUAUCUGUUUCCAAAGAAAGAUGGUAUAAUGUACCCCAUUCUGCCGCCAGGUCUUUGAGUCCUUCAUCAUCCAUACCUCUGUUCUGUUCAAGAACAACAGGUGCAACCAACAUACGCAUAAAGAAAAAAAGGAAAAAAAAAAUGGCAGAGCUCGACCUCAUUUCCACAUACUGACCUGUCGACGACGCUCGAAGGGAAAAAGACGGUGGAGCCUCACCGCGAUCGCCGUCCGACGUUUGCAGAGAUUCGACGACGAAAUGAGAGAGCGGGGCGGUAUUCUGUUUAGGAUGACCGAGAAAUGGGUUUUCUCUUCCACCAAUCAGAGUUUUAAAUUUGGGAAAACACGUUUCGCGACGUCGUUUAUACUAUGUAUGCGGAGUUAGAGCAUGGGUGAGCCAAGUCAGAUUGAAAAAAAAAAAAAAAUUGAUAAAAUAUUACUUAUUUUGAAUUUUCAACUAUUCAAAUCAAAGUUAACACUUGAAGUGAAUCAAUAAAGCUACAUCUACCACCACCGCCCGGCCACCAAUCUUUCCUUACACGAGAUACGAGAUUCGAGAUUGGACAGGAUAAUUCCUACUCGCCGACAUUAGACAACUCUCAAAUGGAUGAACUGGCAUUGGAUAGAGCCGUCUGAUUGGGGCAUUUUUCUGCUUCUAGGGUUUGUGUGUGGAAAUCGAACUUACUUAAAUUGUGAAGAUGUUUAAACCAAUUCGAAUUUUGUGAAAGAUAUUUCUGCUUCUAGGAUUUGUGUGUGUGGAAAUCAAACUUACUUAAAUUGUGAAGAUGUUUAAACCAAUUCGAAUUUGUGAAAAACACGUACACAUCAGCAUUCAAAGCCCCCCUCAAAUUUAGUCGGGAUAUUUCUAUUAAUCAAGAUAAUAUAUAUAAUGAUUUCCCAACAAUAGUCAUAAAACUUAUUAUAAGGAUACCAAUUCAGUCUAAAAUUUUUCAAUUUGGUUAAUUCAGUCCUAACCUUUUAUUAAGAUUUGUCAAUAGUCUAUUCGAGCAAUUUUAAAUGACGAUAGGUGGUUGUUAGCCAAAAUUGACCGAAAUUGCUAUAUUGGUAAAUCUUCAAAAGUUUAGAAUUGAAUUAACAAAUUGAAAUUUUUUGAUUGAAUUUGCAUUUAUAUAUUAAGCUUGAGACUUAAAAAGAAAAAUCUCAUGUGCAUCGGUGGAGAAUCCGAAUGCGGUGUCAUAUCUUUUCAUUUGAAAUGUCAAUGUUUGAUACGCAUGCUGUGUUAAGCUGUAUAACGACAUGAAAACCAAAGUCCGUACAUCAUAUCUGGAAAGAUUUCGAUCGGCUAAGGACAAAUACCCAGUUAUUAUCCUACAUGGGAAAUCCGCCAACCGCGCGGUGGCAAGUCAAUGAUUUCAUCUCAAGGAUUGACCACCGAGGUGGCCAGAGCAGCACCUCACAUUUGGCUUUUGUAGAAGAAGAAUCAAAGCGCUUUUCUUUUUGGUAUAUCUAUGAUGAUGAUGAUAUUAUUAUUAUUAUUAUUAUUAUUAUUAUUAUUAUUAUUAUUAUUAUUAUUAUUAUUAUUAUUGAUCUAAUUCUCACGCACUCAAUAUAAUAUUCACACAUACCACGAGGACAUCUAGAGGACCGCAUGCACAUACGUAAGGUAUUCAUUUAUUUAUUCUUGGGUUUCCACGUUGUCUCUUCCUUUUUCUCCUUUUUCUUUUUUCAUUUUUAUAUUCCUUAGAAAUUAGCAGCCCCUUUAGAAGAAGCCUCUAUUCAAGGGGAAGAAAAGGUCGUCCCGGACUCCCCCAUCAUUGAGGUUCCACUAAAAUGACCAUUAAUUCAGGUUUUAAAUUCAAAGAGAUGAUCUCAGGUACCAACUCCUAACAAAAAAAUUAAAUUGGUCUAUACCAUGGUUUUGAUAAUUCAAACAUGAAUGUUUGUCUAAGGGAGAACCAUCACUUCAACGGGUUGCUUAUUAAACUCUCUUUUGAACUUAUCGUGGAAUCAAGCUGAAUUUCAGAUGAUGACAACAAGAGCAUAUGCAGGUGCAUGGUGCUUGCAUGUAUCUUUGCGAUAUAUGGGAAAUUGGGCCAUUUGCAUGAAAAAGUUGUAGGUGCUUCUUACUUUCUUAGUUUGCUAUUGAAAGCACACGGAAAUCGAAAACCAUGGAGAAGUCUAUCAAGUGACUAAACUUGAUUAAUUUGUAGAGCAUGGCACCUGGAGUUAGGCGUAUCGUCGGUUUUGAAUUUCAACUGGUUGUUUAUUAAACUCUCUUUUGAACUUAUCGUGGAAUCAAACUGAAUUUCAGAUGAUGGCAUCAAAAACAUGUACAAGUCGCCACGCCUGCGUGUAUAUUUGCGAUAUAUGGAAAUGGAAAUCAAAAUCGGGCCACUUGCAUGGAAAAAGUUGGAAUUGCUUUUUACUUUCUUAGUUGGCUAUUGAAAGCACACGGAAAUUGAAAACUAUGGAGAAGUCCAUCAAGUGACUAACCUUGAUUAAUCUGUAGAGUUAGGCGUACCGUCGGUCUUGAAUUUUCCAUAUGCAUCGUGAUGGGGGUAUAGAUAAGGGCUUUGCCUAGUAGAGAGGGGUGCGCACGCUAAAUUUUCAGCAUUAAGCUAAAACAUUCUCCUGUGGGUGAUCUAUAGUCUACUGACGCUAGACGCUCUUCUUUUUUCUUUUUCUUUUUUUUUUUUUUUUUUUGGGUGUGAAAUUAAAAAAGAAAAAAGAAGUAAAAGAAGUAAAACUUGUUAGAAACAAUAAUUAUCAAGUUGGAAUGUAGAAAUCAUGUUCAAUGUAUUGUUACUGUGAUUUAAUAUUUGCUUCUUUUCGUUUCUAAUUUGCUAAUAACUUGACAUCCCUUCUAUAGUUAAAAAGGAUUGUGAUAGUUGCGGACGAAGACUUUUGCAUUACAUUGUUUAGGCUGUUCUUUCACAUGCAUUGCUUGUCACUAUAUAGUAAUGAUAUUUUAAAAUGAGCAAUAAACUUACAUCUUAACCCAUAUUUGAUAAGUUGAGUUAUUGCAUGGAUUAGUUAUAUUUAGUAAAUGGAUUUAAAAUAGUAAAGUCUAAGAUAAUAUGGAUAUUAAACAAACUCACAGUUUACUUAAACCAAUUCACCUCUAUGACUCUCUCUCGCCCUUACUGAUCUCGCAAUCACUCACUCCACGUCCUUACCUCAGUUUGCAUAUGAGUUUUCCUAUAUUAGGUAGAACAUGAAAGCGCUUUAACCAUAUGAAUUAGGUUAGAUAGAAAAACGCGUCGGAUCAUUAUGAGUAUCUAAAUUUGUAUUGCAUAAAAAUAAGUCAAAACAACUUAAAUUGGCCAAAUUAGGUCAAUCUAUUUUUCACUCAACCCAAACCCAACCUAAUCCACCCAUUUCACGAGUCUCUAUAAUACUAAGUAUUAGGUUUUUAUCUCUUGUUUCCAACUAUACAAUUUCUUUUUUUUUUUUCUAAAGUAUUAAAGCUCGAUGGUCAGAGUUCUAAUCCUAACCCCAACACAUACUUUUCUUCACGCGUACUUCGAUUUUUGGCAUGCCCACAUUUGUCUACCUUUUCCAUUCUUGUUGUCAUAGAAUCCUCACCAUGUCCUAAAUUGAGGAAUGAAUUAGACUGAAGAAGUAAUUUCGUAGGGAAGUCGACUCAUGCCGUUUGUUGAGAAGAUCGCCUCAAAGUAAAUGGAUUGAUUCGCUUGGAGGAAAUUAAUGUGCAGAUGUCGGUGCGUUUGACAUUUUUUUUUUUUUUUUAAAAUAUCAUUUGUAUUGAAUGACUAAAAGGUAUUUUUAUAUUUCUAUGCAAAUAUUUAAAAAUAAAUGGUUAUCGAUAAAGAAAUUACUUUGUAUUGAUUAAUUAUUUCAUAAAAUAAGCAAUUAUUUUUAAAAUAUAUAUUUUCAGAUUAUUUAUUUUUCACCAAACAAACGGAGUUUGCCUAAUUGUUCGAUUGAUGCUAUUGGUGUUUCUUUUCAAUUCAAUCGUCACGAUAGCAAUAUGAUUAGAUCUUUUUAAAGUCUGAUUCGUUUGCUUUUACGCUAGGAUUUAUAUUUCCUUAAAAGACUUUGAAACCACAUAGCGGUACCUCUCUUGCAUACAUGCUCUUGGGACCACUAUAGUUAAUGCCCAGAUGUGAAGUUGCUUUGGUCACCCCUCCCAACCCAUUUUAAUCUAAAAUAAAAUAUUGACAGAAGGAUAAUAACUCACUCAGCACAUAUCCGAACUUUUGUCCAUCUUAUUAUCAAAUAUCUCAACUUUUUAUUUAUUUGAUCAAGUACCUCAAUUAUUCAAAUUUAACUCAAUAAAAGAUCUCUAGAGAAUAAAUUGUAUUCAUUUCUGUUUUGACUUUUUCAACAACGAAAACCUCUGGCAUAUGAUAUGGCUCGAGUCCUCCACAACUCCAUUAAGCAUUGAUGGAGGAGACUCGUCGUCAAAAGGAACUGCUGAUGAAAAUUCCACUCUGAGAAAGGUACCCACGUAAUUGGAACGGCAGUAGGGAUCCCAGAAGCAAGCAUCUUCACGUACAACCCAUCAAAGCCCCCAAACUCUUCAAACAGCCUUUCAAAUUCCUGGAAUCAUGCAGAAUAACAUUAAAAACCCAAAGAAAUGAAUAAUGCAAAGAAGAAACUAUAAGUUGAAAGAUGCAGUACCUUGAUGUUGACAUGAUAUUCCUUUGUGUCCCCCCUUCAAAGCACCCCAAUCAUGUCUGAAUUGUGCACUGUCUAUAAGCUUCUUGGAUGCAGCAUAAGUUACAGCUACGAGAUCCAUUUCCCACCUAUUUUUCACAUCAUUGUACCUUGUUUUGGACCUCGGUCCAAGAGAAUCUGUUCCUUCAAAGGUGUAAAAAAAUCCAUCAAUCCAAAUUCAGGCGAAGAAGGGGCUGAACUGGAAAAAGAAAAAACAAGGGGGGGCUUUCUAGUCUUUUCAGCCGACGGAGAACCGGUUUCGGGUAGGUCGGUGGAUCCGGACCCGAUGUUUCCAGAAUAAAAAAGAAAACCCUGGAAGCCCUGGAGAAAUUGUCUCCAGUUCACACAGAUCCAGGAGAGAUGUCGACGAUGGGUCCAGAAGAGGUGACAGAAGCGGAAGGAGGAGGAGGAGAGAUGUCGAUGAGGGGUCCGGAAGAAGACAGGGAUGCGAUGAUAGCGGAGGCCAAGCGGUUCGUGGAGAACUACUACAGCACGUUCGACGCGAACAGGGAGGGCUUGGUGAACCUGUACCGGCAACGAUCGGUGCUGAAAAUCGAGGGCCGGAAGAUCCAGGGCAAGGAGGCUAUCCUCGCCAAACUCAUCUCCCUUCCGCAGCCGUGCCACCACGAAUUCCCCGAGAUCAGUUGCUGCACCUAUCGCUUGGCACCCGCAUCGGCAUCGGUCGCCGUGCGCGUCCUGGUCCGCGGCGGGACGUGGUUAGGCGGCAAGAAGGAGGAGGCGGACGCCGCCCUUAUACAGCAGGUCUCUCUCGUUCUCUCUAAGUUAUUAUUUCUUGUCAACGCUUUGCAAUUUCUCUUAUCGAUCAAUCCGUUAAUCAAUCGCAUCGCGCAUAAAUACCGAGAGUACAUCUCAAGCUCCUUGUCUAACGCUCUGGCUGGCUCUGAUUCUUAACCUUCAGAGCUUCAAUCUGGUGCCAGCACGAGGAGGAAGCUUUUACAUAGCUCGACAAUCUGGGAUGCUCUUUGAUCUCAAGAAGCCUCGGUCCGGGGGUCUGUCCUACUGGCUACCGAAACCUCCCUGCUCGGCAGCGCCCUUUCUUGGCCCGUUAUAUCAAAUCCUAUCCUCGGCAUACCCGCCGACGUCGGCUGCCACGGCACCGAGUACGCCUCCGCAUUUCGAACGCCUCAGCAUUUCGAAUCCGAAUGCCACCCAUGAUGAAACUUCCUCCGUCUCUACAGAGACCUGAUGAUAAAACUGUUUUACUUUCAAUGUUCUAGACUCUUGUUUUAUUUUCAAUGUUUUGUUGCACUACUUUUGUGAAUACGUAUUGGAUUCAUGUUCGAAUCCAAGUUCAGCAUAUGUCAUACUGCUCUUAUGAACUGAACUCAGUGGCAGGGCCUUCUAAUUCUCGUGGUAAUAUACUUAAUGUUUCAUGACAUUAGCAGUGAGGAUGUUAAUAUGAUGGAUAAACACUGCUCCUCUCGACAAUACCUCGCCCAUGCUUCUAGAGGAAAUAACUUUUCUUUUAACAUACAAGUUUUAUUUCAUGACUUUAAUAUAGUACAGAUAAUCAUGAGUUAAGAUAAAAAUAAAUAGGGAGCAAUUUACAUUUUGGCCGCCAUCGGCGAAAUGGAAGGUAGACAGAUGACUCUAGGACUCUCUACCAACGAAUUCAGCGGAGCGAGCCGGUCAUUUGACAAGUUGAUUAUGACAUUUUCAGAUAAAUGCAGGAGAAGCGUAUCCUUUUUUUACACCUUUAUUUGAGACUUUGCGGGGCUCCUCCCUUGCAUUGACCGUGCUUAUCCAGCGUCGAGAUUGAUCCGCAUUUGUCCAUUUCACAAUCAUAAAGUGCAUGCAAAAUGGACCGGAGAAGUACUGCAUUACUGUGAUAGUAAAUUGCAGGACUGUCUCCGCCGGUACUUGUGGAUUCAAUCGUGCAAGAAGGGGGGACACCAUUUGCUUCUCAUCAAGCCCCCAACCGUACUGAAUGACCAUUCCUGUCGCCAUCCGUCACAGGUUAUGUAUCUUAAUAUAUAUGUCUACAUGUAUUCACCUUUCGCUGUGAGAGUUUUCUCAUGAAAGGUAAUCUAAGGUAGAGAACAUCGACAAACUUCUCAAAGCAUAAUGUUACAGGACCAACCUCUUGAGUUUGCUUCAGUUCGGAAGAAGAGAGAAAAUUCUUCCCCGGGAGGAAGUAGAAGCUGUGAAGCAACAUCCAAACCAAAGCAAAAUACAAGCUACUUUUCAAGGUAUGAUCUUAGUUCUGAGUUAGCAUUAACAGAGCCUUCACUCCGUGCCUCGGCGAUCUUUGUACAGCCAAUUCCCUGCAAGAAAGGGGUCAAAGUGAACGUCUUUAUAAGACCAAGGGCUCGAAAAUCCCAUAAGGCAUGCAUCUGCAAAUAACUUCUCCUGCGAAGAGGAGAACAAGAACAACCCAGGACACAUGUGGAUACGCUCAAUGUAGCACAAUGAUUAAAUUAAAUCUGCCAAAAUGCUCCAAUGACAGAUAAAGCCAUAAAUAGACAUCUCACGUCAUUGUGUUCGACUGUUUUGAUAUCCCGUUUCAUAUUAAACUCUUGAUCCUUAGAUACGACGGCAAGGAUCAUGGCCAACAAAAGCAUGGGACUGAUUCACUGAGUGCCCAGAUAAAGAAGGUAAUUUAUCAUGUCAAUAGCAUGAAUGGAUGACGGUACCACUGAAUGAAAAGUUCGAUAACGAACAACAUGCCAAUGCACAUAGCUUGAAAAGUGCCAGAAGGAAAAAGCACAAAAAAGAUUGAAAUGGCGAGCUGACAUCCAUGAAGGAUGAUGACAUUCCCUGUUCAGCAGUAGAACAGGACCCCUAAAAUAGGAAUAAGGCACUUGCCGGUACUUGCUCAUGAGCUUAAUAAGGCGCAUGCUAUUUCAUUACGAGAAAGAAAAAGAGGACAAUAACCUGCCACGUACAUGGUUCAAGCCACAAAUUGUCGACAACAUCAGAGUUUGAUAGUCAAAGAGCUAUAAGGCCAUGACCAGCCGCCCAAACAGCAUGAGGGAACUUGGUUUCCUCUGUCCACUUUCAAAUCGUCCAUAUUAUGCAAGUCACCUCAAAGAAACCAACGGAACUUGUACGCAUAACGAUAUCAUCGUUUGCUCGCUGGUCCGGGUAUAUCAAGUUAGCUAAAAUUUUAGAACAAUGAUUCUUAUCUGAUAACCCUACCACCUUCUAUUUUUAACCACUGAAUUUGUUGUACUCCCGAUUCUUUAGAGUGCGCAAAAAAUAAAACAGCAGAAAUUUAUAGAUUAGAAUUUUGUCAAUUUUUAGAAUUGUUCGGAAGACAAUAGCCCGGGAUAGUCCAACAAACUAAUAGUAAGCAUCAAGGAGAAUUAAUUGAGCAUAACUCCAUUGUUUAUUUGGCCGUACGGUUCAAUUAGAUCAACGACAUUCUGUGUGUCCUCCUCAGUCAAUGUCAGCCCCAGAUGAUUCACCAGCAUUCGGCUAAUCUGCCUCACAACUUUCGUUUGCCGAAUCCAUUUAGGAACCAUAUUGCUCAAGGCCUAUGCAAAAUAAUGAGCGAAUAAUAUGCAUAUGGUAUAAAAUAUAUCACAUAAUGGGUAACCGCUCCAACCUCCAAAACUUCCAUUUUUACUCUCCUCCGAGAAUGAGAUUAGAGCACAAAGUCCCGGUGCUUAUUGGUUUUAGCAAAGAGAAAAUGAUCGAUUCAAGCAGAACUGAAUUUUGCUUCCCCUUACUCUUCGUCAAUUAUAAUUUAUGUUCCCUUUCCUCUGAACAAAAGAAAAAGGGACAUGCAGCCAGUUCCAUGGACCCCCGGGAAUCGGAUCGGGCAAAUCCGAAUCCAAAGCCGAAUAGGUUGGUUCCCAAUUUCACAAACUAGGACCCAGCCCCGUCUGGUCAAGUUCCCGGUUCCGGAGUGGGCCAAUUUAGCUCAGAAUCUACCCAUAAUCGGGUUCAAACAGUUCAGAGAAAAUUCAAAAUAACUUGGAAUUACCACCGCUCAAAGUUAGAAAAUCAAUCGUCAAAAAAAGUUAAAAAAUCAACAUCCCACUGAGAACCUUUCAGAUCAUCAUGUAACGUCAACUGAAAACACAUUAGAUCAGAUCUAACGUAUUGUCUUCACUGACAUGUGCCGACUUUUGCCAACAAAUUGGAAGACGUUUAAUCCCCUUAAUCCCCUCGAUUUCUUCCUCGAUUCAAAAAUCUUCAAUCGGAAUUUAACUUUAUCAAUUCGCAAAGUUUCCAAAUCCAAUGGGGUGUCGGAACUUGUUCGGAGGUCUUGUGAGCAUGCAUCAAUCCCCGUUAGAUAUCAGAAUGAGGAGUCCAACAAGAGAAUACAGCUGAAAUCCAAGCGCCUCAAUUCUCAAGUCAAAUAUAAGCUAUCCAGAACUGCAAAUCCACCAGCGACUCCACCUUCAUGUGAUGAUGAUAUCUUUGUUCUCAUUAAAUAACCACACUGUUCAUUUACGAUGACAUUCUCUUUCUUCCUGGUAAGAUCAAUCUCAGAUUACCAUGAGCACAUCAAAUGCAUUUACAAACAUUGUCGCUGAAUUCACUAGUGCUAACACGUGCGAACAACGGUGCUGUAGAAGGCAUGAAAUAAAUUAAAAACAGAAGCUUUGGUUAUCAGAUUUUCCCAUCCGACUCCAACUGCAAAGAUUAAAUUCCAAGUCAUUGAUUUUAAUUAAUCCGAGAUCACAUCCAUCAAACUAAUGAGAGAUGGAGCGACAUCAAAAAAUUACCUCACAUAAGCACCAUAUACCCCGAGUUCUGACAUGGCGUGAUCUUUAUAACAAAUGCCAUCACGAAUGAGAGUUGUGGGAGAAAUGGACGGAAAAAUUCUUUGCAUAAGGAUAUAGGCAGCAUCCUCCUCACUACCUUCACGUUGCAGCCUUAAUAGGGUUUCUCUCACGUCGUCGCCAUAGAUGUUGUUCCCUAAAGAGAGAAAUGACUUCAUUUUAGAAAGAAGAUAGCGCGGCUUAUAACAAAGCAAUCCUUGAAUAAUAUAAUCAAGGUGAGAGAUAAUUACCUCCCCCUUCCCUCUGGGGCUUCAUGACAAAUAGCUCGGGACUUUCAAUUGCUUUACCAACAAUAUGAGGGUCUUCUAAGCUCCAUAAACCUGCAAAGGAUUUCUGGAUCUCGGCAAUGUCUUCUUUGUUCUCAAGGAAUCUGAUAUAUGCACCAAUGGAGUCUCGUAAGUGAUCAAACACGUAGGAGAUAGAGUCUAUUCGACAGUGCAUCUUCUCCUGUAAUUAAAUUGACUUCUAAUGUUCCCAUCGAUAUGUUAUCGAGACUGUUCGGUAAGACAUAUGGAAGGAGCUAAAAUGGCCAUUUGGUAUUAAAAGUAGUCCUUAAUUCGCAGUCCUGGGUGCCAUUGAUUACAUCUAAGCUUCAAACUCAACUAAACAUCAUCAUAUUAGCUAUUGUUGUAUGCAUAGCACACAUCUAUAUACAUUUGUGCUUCAGGAGUUUUUCCAGGAAUGGUACGAUUCCAUAUAAAGCACAGAGGAUGAAGAAAUGUGAUCUGUUGAACAAAAUAUAUCACCUUUCAAGUACAUUAGGUUUUGCAAGUUCUUGCUGAAUCUUUUUCGUGCCGGCUAAAUGAUAAGAUAUGGAUGGGCACUUAAUUGCAGAUGACUCUUCCGUAAGUAGCCUUGCUCUCCAUUCCUACAAUACAGCAAGAAACAAAACUUAAGUCACACCUUUCAAGCAUUGACCCAGGGCUUAAGAUUUCCGCACUUCUUACUAUUUUAUAACAUAGGGUUUUCAAGUGGCACUAAUUUGACGCCUGUCAACUUCUUGAGGUUGUGUGAAGAAUGGAUUUCAUAUUUCCUCUUAUUGGUUUCUUUCCAUUCCCUCUGUUUACUUACUUUGUGGAUAAUCAUUUAUUUGCCUUCCACCCAGAAAUUUUUUUAAGUUGAUGAUAUUUUCUGGAACAAAGUCCACUUUUUCCAUAACCAAUUGGACAAACUUGGUUAUUUGGAGGAAAUGUCAUGAUUACAUUGUUUAGUAUUCUUUUACAUCGCAUAAUGCUAUAUGUUUUGAACAUGAAGUCAAUUGUUUAGCCAAGCUUGGCUUACGAAUGUUCAUAUGUACAUUAUCAAGUAUUGUUCAUUGUGGCCAGUCUCAUGGAAUUAUGAUAUAGUAAUGAGGGAAUCCUAACAAUCAAAAUGUGCAGGAAAUAGAGAAGUAUAUUAUAAUCAUGAAUCUAACAGAAAUAAUCGACUUGCAUAAAACAUCAUGAUGAUACUAAUAAUUGUUCUAUUCAGUCAUCAAGACAUAUAAAAGCGAAUCUUUAUGAAAACUAGAGUAAGGAUGCAGUCACUAUAACAUUGUAAGAAAUGCUGCCACAGAAAUAUUUUAUGAGAAGAAUAAAACCCGCCUCAAACGCGGGAUUUUCACUAGUAUGGUAAUAAAACAUAUCUAUAAAGAAAGCAUCUGGUAAAGCUAAAAUGGAAGGAGAAAUUUUCUGAAAAUUAAUCACAGCUACAGUCAAUAUUUCAAGGAAGACAAUCUUCUCUUAGUUGCUAUUAGCUAAUUAUUAGGAUAAGGCUUAAGGAUGUACCGAUUCUGAAGGAUAAUCAUUUGGGGUAUACCCGGCUCUAAAAUAAAUAGCUGCUACAGGGACUCCACCUCUUGCAAUAGCAAAUCUUCAUUAUGUAAGUGAAACGUGCAUGUAAAGCCAAAGUUCAACAAGAUAAACUAGAGAUGUCAGCAACUACAUACACAAGUAACGUCCCAUCAGGCUGAAGUUCCCCCUCUGCAUCAAUUUCUGCUAAGGUCUUCCGAAUAGACCUCACAUUAUGUGUGUUAUAUAAUUAAGGAAGCAUCCAAAGCAAAUUAUGGACAUGAAGAGACUGAUGGACAGAAAUAGAGAACUUUAUAGUUUGGAAAGCAGAUUUUUGGACGCAGAGCAUCAUAGCAGAUAGAUGUAGAAUCCAAGAAAUGAUCUAAGAGAGACAAAGAGAGAUAAUCACAGAUAUAACCUACCCUUCUGAUAUCUCAAAACAAUCGCUAGUAUAUAGAAGGAUAUCUUUCGCUCACGACAGAGCUAAGCCAGUGCAGGUCGUACAUAUUUCGUUCCUCUGUCUGAACCACAACCAGAACAGUGGCCCUGUUAAAAGUAAUCAAUUGUAAUCAGGUCUUAAUGAAAUAUACUCCACAUAUGCAGACCUAUGAAUAAAAAAAAGAAAAGAAGACGACCAUAAUUAUUUUGCAAUUCUUACUUUGGGUUAUUGAACUCGAUCCAAGCUUUGGCCAAGGCCUCUGCAUAAUGACUCACAGCAGCAUUGGUAGGGAUCCUCCUGGGAUCUAACCCAAGAGUUUCGCCAUAAUGGCUGAGCAAGGACCCGUGUCAUUGCCACCUGACGUUAAGAUCAAGCUUUUGGUCUUCUGUGACCAUCUUUGACCGUGCAUGUGAACAGGUGCGUAUGGGCUUAGAGAAAUCACAGGGAAUGUAAGAGUCAGUACAUAUGACCAACCUAACCUGUGGAGCUCACUAACAAGACAGCCAAGACCCGGAAAUGAGGAUGAUAUGGUGUUCAGUUCUAUCUGAAGCAGUAACUUCGUUUGUUCAUCAAGCGUAUAAUCCGAUUGAUGCAAACCCAGUCGUAUCUCCUGUGGAGAAUUGAGAGAGCAAAAUUAUGGGGUUUAGCACACUAAUCAUAUUCAGCAAUCAGCAUAUUUUUCUUCCAGACGAGGAAAGCAGCCAAUCAAAGUGACAUGAACUUGAAAAGCCAGUUUUAAUACACUAUUGCAACCAAACUUAAGGUAAAGCUUUCACAAAAUUCUAAAUUUAUGAACUUACAUCUUUUUUAUUAAUUUCCAUCAUCUUGGAAUGGAUAUCUACGAGUCGAGAGGUGAAAGCAUCCACCUCUUUUGUUCUGCAAUGAGAAGAAGUUACAUCAUGUAAUUCAACAGUAAGUUCGGACUUGCUUCACCAAUGCGACAACUAAAAGCCGGACUACAAAAAUACCAUUGAUUGCAAGGAAGGUAGAAGGGCUCAUAAUUUCCAAAAUACUAGGUUAUGAGAAAAAUAGAAGAGCUAAAAGGAGUUGAAUUUUUCAUAAGCUAAGAAACAACCAAGAGCAUAUGAUACAAGCCAAAGCAGAGUGAGAAUUGAAUCAGACCUAAGAAUUCACAUGAAACAAUGGUCUUAAUCUUCUUGAAUUGGACACUAUAUGCUUAUAGCAUAAACUACAUGCCGUAUUCGACCAAAAGAAGAAAAAAAAAAAAAACUACAUGCUGCAGACAUAUAGAUAAAGCAGAAUAAAUACCUGGAUAAUGAAUCUUGUAAAAACUUUCCAUCCAAACUCACACGAUCGACAAGCUCAUUGAAAAUAGGAGCUAAUUCGCAAGCCUCCCUAAACUGACUCUCGGGAAUGAGAUGGGCAACAAAGCAAACGGAGCAUGCAUCAGACCGACACCAGGUGCUUUUCCUGAUCUCUGCAACACAUACGCAUAAAUACCAUUAUCAGUCAAACUGUAGAAUUAAACAACCCAGAUCAAAUUCGACAGGAAACUCCAUAAACAGCACAUCAGAAAGUCGCAUAUUCCAAGUCAUUGAUUUUGAUUAAUCAGAGAUCACAUCCAUCAAACUAAUGAGAGAUGGAGUGACAUCAAAAAAUUACCUCACAUAAGCACCAUAUACCCCGAGUUCUGACAUGGCGUGAUCUUUAUAACAAAUGCCAUCACGAAUGAGAGUUGUGGGAGAAAUGGACGGAAAAAUUCUAUGCAUGAGGAUAUAGGCAGCAUCCUCCUCACUCCCUUCACGUUGCAGCCUUAAUAGGGUUUCUCUCACAUCGUCGCCAUAGAUGUUGUUCCCUAAAGAGAGAAAUGACUUCAUUUUAGAAAGAAGAUAGCGCGGCUUAUAACAAAGCAAUCCUUGAAUAAUAUAAUCAAGGUGAGAGAUAAUUACCUCCCCCUUCCCUCUGGGGCUUCAUGACAAAUAGCUCGGGACUUUCAAUUGCUUUACCAACAAUAUGAGGGUCUUCUAAGCUCCAUAAACCUGCAAAGGAUUUCUGGAUCUCGGCAAUGUCUUCUUUGUUCUCAAGGAAUCUGAUAUAUGCACCAAUGGAGUCUCGUAAGUGAUCAAACACGUAGGAGAUAGAGUCUAUUCGACAGUGCAUCUUCUCCUGUAAUUAAAUUGACUUCUAAUUUUCCCAUCGAUAUGUUAUCGAGACUGUUCGGUAAGACAUAUGAAUGGAGCUAAAAUGGCCAUUUGGUAUUAAAGGUAGUCCUUAAUUCGCAGUCCUGGGUGCCAUUGAUUACAUCUUAGCUUCAAACUCAACUAAACAUCAUCAUAUUAGCUAUUGUUGUAUGCAUAGCACACAUCUAUAUACAUUUGUGCUUCAGGAGUUUUUCCAGGAAUGGUACGAUUCCAUAUAAAGCACAGAGGAUGAAGAAAUGUGAUCUGUUGAACAAAAUAUAUCACCUUUCAAGUACAUUAGGUUUUGCAAGUUCUUGCUGAAUCUUUUUCGUGCCGGCUAAAUGAUAAGAUAUGGAUGGGCACUUAAUUGCAGAUGACUCUUCCGUAAGUAGCCUUGCUCUCCAUUCCUACAAUACAGCAAGAAACAAAACUUAAGUCACACCUUUCAAGCAUUGACCCAGGGCUUAAGAUUUCCGCACUUCUUACUAUUUUAUGACAUAGGGUUUUCAAGUGGCACUAAUUUGACGCCUGUCAACUUCUUGAGGUUGUGUGAAGAAUGGAUUUCAUAUUUCCUCUUAUUGGUUUCUUUCCAUUCCCUCUGUUUACUUACUUUGUGGAUAAUCAUUUAUUUGCAUUCCACCCAGAAAUUUUUUUAAGUUGAUGACAUUUUCUGGAACAAAGUCCACUUUUUCCAUAACCAAUUGGACAAACUUGGUUAUUUGGAGGAAAUGUCAUGAUUACAUUGUUUAGUAUUCUUUUACAUCGCAUAAUGCUAUAUGUUUUGAACAUUAAGUCAAUUGUUUAGCCAAGCUUGGCUUACGAAUGUUCAUACGUACAUUAUCAAGUAUUGUUCAUUGUGGCCAGUCUCAUGGAAUUAUGAUAUAGUAAUGAGGGAAUCCUAACAAUCAAAAUGUGCAGGAAAUAGAGAAGUAUAUUAUAAUCAUGAAUCUAACAGAAAUAAUCGACUUGCAUAAAACAUCAUGAGGAUACUAAUAAUCGUUCUAUUCAAUCAUCAAUACAUAUAAAUGUAAAUCUUUAUGAAAACUAGAGUAAGGAUGCAGUCAUUAUAACAUUGUAAGAAAUGCUGACGCAGAAAUAUUUUAUGAGAAGAAUAAAACCCGCCUCAAACGCGGGAUUUUCACUAGUAUGGUAAUAAAACAUAUCUAUAAAGAAAGCAUCUGGUAAAGCUAAAAUGGAAGGAGAAAUUUUCCGAAAAUUAAUCACAACUACAAUCAAUAUUACCUCCCCCUUCCCUCUGGGGCUUCAUGACAAAUAGCUCGGGACUUUCAAUUGCUUUACCAACAAUAUGAGGGUCUUCUAAGCUCCAUAAACCUGCAAAGGAUUUCUGGAUCUCGGCAAUGUCUUCUUUCUUCUCAAGGAAUCUGAUAUAUGCACCAAUGGAGUCUCGUAAGUGAUCAAACACGUAGGAGAUACAGUCUAUUCGACAGCUCAUCUUCUCCUGUAAUUAAAUUGACUUCUAAUGUUCCCAUCGAUAUGUUAUCGAGACUGUUCGGUAAGACAUAUGAAAGGAGCUAAAAUGGCCAUUUGGUAUUAAAAGUAGUCCUUAAUUCGCAGUCCUGGGUGCCAUUGAUUACAUCUAAGCUUCAAACUCAACUAAACAUCAUCAUAUUAGCUAUUGUUGUAUGCAUAGCACACAUCUAUAUACAGACAAAAUGAGUUUCAGUCUAAUAAAAUGUAAAGCAAAGCUGGGAGCGCUUCAAGCAUCCAGCGCCGCUGCUGGUGGCGCUGUCCUGCCUUCCUCCAUAUCCGGGAGCCCCACUUUCUCCAGUAGUGCCUGAAACUGGGAUCGGUCCUCCUCCUCCUCCAUCCAUCCUCCUCCUCCGCUGCCUGUCCUUCAUCCAUGGCAUCUGGUUCCGUACGGAAGACGGAAAAUACAAGGGUUGCUCCCUGCUGUGCUGUCAUUUGCAGAAUAAAACUCUAGAGCAAAACACAAAUCAGUAUUCUUCCUAUUCCCAAAAAAAAGGCACAGCAAAAGAAAAGAGAAUACAUGGUUGAAGUUGUAUGGUAGCACAACGUCCUCUUCCCUCCCAUACUGUCCACCAAAGGAGGCGUAGAUGCGUUGAGCGACGUGGUCAACGAACGCAUCGAACUCAUCCAAAUGGAACUUGAAUCUAUCCAAACCGUUCACAAACGCAGCAAUGGCCUCCGGGGUCCCAAGACGGACCCCAUCAAAAUCCAUGCACGCUUCAUCAUAAAAGCUUAUCAGCUCUUGCCUAUCCCUUGCCAAAAUAUCAUGGUAUAACACACCCCAACCUGCCGCCAUGUCUUUGAGUCUUUCAUCAUCCAUACCUCUGUUCUGUUCAAGAACAAUAGGUGCAAAUAACGUACGCAUAAAGAAAAAAAGGAAAAAAAAAAAAAUGGCAGAGCUCGACCUCAUUUCCACAUACUGACCUGUCGACGACGCUCGAAGGGAAAAAGACGGUGGAGCCUCACCGCGAUCGCCGUCCGACGUUUGCAGAGAUUCGACGACGAAAUGAGAGAGCGGGGCGGUAUUCUGUUUAGGAUGACCGAGAAAUGGGUUUUCUCUUCCACCAAUCAGAGUUUUAAAUUUGGGAAAACACGUUUCGCGACGUCGUUUAUACUAUGUAUGCGGAGUUAGAGCAUGGGUGAGCCAAGUCAGAUUGAAAAAAAAAAAAAAUUGAUAAAAUAUUACUUAUUUUGAAUUUUCAACUAUUCAAAUCAAAGUUAACACUUGAAGUGAAUCAAUAAAGCUACAUCUACCACCACCGCCCGGCCACCAAUCUUUCCUUACACGAGAUACGAGAUUCGAGAUUGGACAGGAUAAUUCCUACUCGCCGACAUUAGACAACUCUCAAAUGGAUGAACUGGCAUUGGAUAGAGCCGUCUGAUUGGGGCAUUUUUCUGCUUCUAGGGUUUGUGUGUGGAAAUCGAACUUACUUAAAUUGUGAAGAUGUUUAAACCAAUUCGAAUUUGUGAAAGAUAUUUCUGCUUCUAGGGUUUGUGUGUGGAAAUCAAACUUACUUAAAUUGUGAAGAUGUUUAAACCAAUUCGAAUUUGUGAAAAACACGUACACAUCAGCAUUCAAAGUCCCCCUCAAAUUUAGUCGCGAUAUUUCUAUUAAUCAAGAUAAUAUAUAUAAUGAUUUCCCAAAAAUAGUCAUAAAACUUAUUACAAGGAUACCAAUUCAGUCUAAAAUUUUUCAAUUUGCUUAAUUUAGUCCUAACCUUUUAUUAAGAUUUGUCAAUAGUCUAUUCGAGCAAUUUUAAAUGACGAUAGGUGGUUGUUAGCCAAAAUUGACCGAAAUUGCUAUAUUGGUAAAUCUUCAAAAGUUUAAAAUUGAAUUAAUACAUUGAAAAAUUUUGAUUGAAUUUGCAUUUAUAUAUUAAGUUUGAGACUUAAAAAGAAAAAUCUCAUGUGCAUUGGUGGAGAAUCCGAAUGCGGUGUCAUAUCUUUUCAUUUGAAAUGUUAAUGUUUGAUACGCAUGCUGUGUUAAGCUGUAUAACGACAUGUAAACCAAAGUCCGUACAUCAUAUCUGGAAAGAUUUCGAUCGGCUAAGGACAAAUACCCGGUUAUUAUCCCACAUGGGAAAUCCGCCAACCGCGCGGUGGCAAGUCAAUGAUCUCAUCUCAAGGAUUGACCGCCGAGGUGGCCAGAGCAGCACCUCACAUUUGGCUUUUGUAGAAGAAGAAUCAAAGCGCUUUUCUUUUUGGUAUAUCUAUGAUGAUGAUGAUAUUAUUAUUAUUAUUAUUAUUAUUAUUAUUAUUAUUAUUAUUGAUCUAAUUCUCACGGACUCAAUAUAAUAUUCACACAUACCACGAGGACAUCUAGAGGACCGCAUGCACAUACGUAAGGUAUUCAUUUAUUUAUUAUUGGGUUUCCACGUUGUCUCUUCCUUUUUCUCCUUUUUCUUUUUUCAUUUUUAUAUUCCUUAGAAAUUAGCAGCCCCUUUAGAAGAAGCCUCUAUUCAAGGGGAAGAAAAGGUCGUCUCGGACUCCCCCAUCAUUGAGGUUCCACUAAAAUGACCAUUAAUUCAGGUUUUAAAUUCAAAGAGAUUGUCUCAGGUACCAACUCCUAACAAAAAAAUUAAAUUGGUCUAUACCAUGAUUUUGAUAAUUCAAAGAGAUUGUCUAAGGGAGAACCAUCACUUCAACGGGUUGCUUAUUAAACUCUCUUUUGAACUUAUCGUGGAAUCAAACUGAAUUUCAAAUGAUGACAACAAGAGCAUGUGCAGGUGCAUGGUGCUUGCAUGUAUCUUUGCGAUAUAUGGGAAAUUGGGUCAUUUGCAUGAAAAAGCUGUAGGUGCUUCUUACUUUCUUAGUUUGCUAUUGAAAGCACACGGAAAUCGAAAACCAUGGAGAAGUCUAUCAAGUGACUAAACUUGAUUAAUCUGUAGAGCAUGGCACCUAGAGUUAGGCGUAUUGUCGAUCUUGAAUUUCAACGGGUUGUUUAUUAAACUCUCUUUUGAACUUAUCGUGGAAUCAAACUGAAUUUUAGAUGAUGGCAUCAAGAAUAUGUGCAAGUCGCCACGCUUGCGUGUAUAUUUGCGAUAUAUGGAAAUGGAAAUCAAAAUCGGGCCACUUGCAUGGAAAAAGUUGGAAUUGCUUUUUACUUUCUUAGUUGGCUAUUGAAAGCACGUGGAAAUUGAAAACUAUGGAGAAGUCCAUCAAGUGACUAACCUUGAUUAAUCUGUAGAGUUAGGCGUACCGUCGGUCUUGAAUUUUCCGUAUGCAUCGUGAUGAGGGUAUAGAUAAGGGCUUUGCCUAGUAGAGAGGGGUGUGCACGCUAAAUUUUCAGCAUUAAGCUAAAACAUUCUCCUGUGGGUGAUCUAUAGUCUACUGACGCUAGACGCCCUUCUUUUUUCUUUUUUCUGGGUGUGAAAUUAAAAAGAAAAAGAAAAAAAGAGAAGUAAAACUUGUUAGAAACAAUAAUUAUCAAGUUGGAAUGUAGAAAUCAUGUUCAAUGUAUUGUUACUGUGAUUUAAUAUUUGCUUCUUUUCGUUUCUAAUUUGCUAAUAACUUGACAUCCCUUCUAUAGUUAAAAAGGUUGUGAUAGUUGCGGACGAAGACUUUUGCAUUACAUUGUUUAGGCUGUUUUUUCACAUGCAUUGCUUGUCACUAUAUAGUAAUGAUCUUUUAAAAUGAGCAAUAAACUUAUAUCUUAACCCAUAUUUGAAAAGUUGAGUUAUUGCAUGGAUUAGUUAUAUUUAGUAAAUGGAUUUAAAAUAGUAAAGUCUAAAAUAAUAUGGAUAUUAAACAAACUCACGGUUUACUUAAACCAAUUCACCUCUAUGACUCUCUCUCGCCCUUACUAAUCUCGCAAUCACUCACUCCACGUCCUUACCUCAGUUUGCAGAUGAGUUUUCCUAUAUUAGGUAGAACAUGAAAGCGCUUUAACCAUAUGAAUUAGGUUAGAUAGAAAAACGCGUCAGAUCAUUAUGAGUAUCUAAAUUUGUAUUGCAUAAAAAUAAGUCAAAACAACUUAAAUUGGCCAAAUUAGGUCAAUUUAUUUUUCACUCAACCCAAACCCAACCUAAUCCACCCAUUUCACGAGUCUCUAUAAUACUAAGUAUUAGGUUUUUAUCUCUUGUUUCCAACUAUACAAAUUUUUUUUCUAAAGUAUUAAAGCUCGAUGGUCAGAGUUCUAAUCCUAACCCCGACACAUACUAUUCUUCACGCGUACUUCGAUUUUUGGCAUGCCCACAUUUGUCUACCUUUUCCAUUCUUGUUGUCAUAGAAUCCUCACCAUGUCCUAAAUUGAGGAAUGAAUUAGACUGAAGAAGUAAUUUCGUAGGGAAGUCGACUCAUGCCGUUUGUUCAGAAGAUCGCCUCAAAGUAAAUGGAUUGAUUCGCUUGGAGGAAAUUGAUGUGCACUUGUCGGUGCGUCUAACAUUUUUUUUUUUAUAAAUAUCAUUUGUAUUGAAUGACUAAAAUAUAUUUUUAUUUUUCUAUGCAAAUAUUUAAAAAUAAAUGGUUAUCGAUAAAGAAAUUACUUUGUAUUGAUUAAUUAUUUCAUAAAAUAAGCAAUUAUUUUUAAAAUAUAUAUUUUCAGAUUAUUUAUUUUUCACCAAACAAACGGAGUUUGCUUAAUUGUUCGAUUGAUGCUAUUGGUGUUUCUUUUCAAUUCAAUCGCCUCGUCAACAAUCUCCUCUGACCCCUUAACGAACCCCUCUCUCUCUCUUCAAUUCCCUCACCUCCUCGCACGUACCCCGCCCGCAUUGUCUCCUCCUCCUGCAAUUGCCGUUUUUCCAAUUUCACCGCCUUCAUCGCCACCUCCACCUCCUCGAUACGCCCCUCCCCUCUCCUAAUCUCAUCCAUCCAUCUCAGAACCACCGAAACCUUCUCCAGCAAUCUCUCCGUGCAAUUCCAAUACUCGUGCCCUUUCACUUCCGACCGCUCCUCAAUUCUCUCCAAAUUCAGCCGUAGCGGUGGCGAAGAAGGGGCUGAACUGGAAAAAGAAAAAACAAGGGGGGGCUUUCUAGUCUUUUCAGCCGACAGAGAACCGGUUUCGGGUCGGUCGGUGGAUCCGGACCCGAUGAUUCCAAAAUAAAAAAGAAAACCCUGGAAGCCCUAGAGAAAUUGUCUCCAGUUCACACAGAUCCAGCAGGAGGAGGAGGAGGAGGAGGAGGAGGAGAGAUGUCGACGAUCGGUCCAGAAGACGUGACAGAAGCGGAAGGAGGAGGAGGAGGAGAGAUGUCGAUGGUGGGUCCGGAAGAAGACAGGGAUCCGAUGAUAGCGGAGGCCAAGCGGUUCGUGGAGAACUACUACAGCACGUUCGACGCGAACAGGGAGGGCUUGGUGAACCUGUACCGGCAACGAUCGGUGCUGAAAAUCGACGGCCGGAAGAUCCAGGGCAAGGAGGCUAUCCUCGCCAAACUCACCUCCCUUCCGCAGCCGUGCCACCACGAAUUCGCCGAGGUCAGUUGCGGCACCUAUCGCUUGGCACCCGCAUCGGCAUCGGUCGCCGUGUCCGUCCUGGUCGGGGGCGGGACGUGGUUAGGCGGCAAGAAGGAGGAGGCGGACGCCGCCCUUAUACAGCAGGUCUCUCUCGUUCUCUCUAAGUUAUUAUUUCUUGUCAACGCUUUGCAAUUUCUCUCAUCGAUCAAUCCAUUAAUCAAUCGCAUCGCGCAUAAAUACCGAGAGUACAUCUCAAGCUCCUUGUCUAACGCUCUGGCUGG
RNAcentral lists this long non-coding RNA (38218 nucleotides) under Eucalyptus grandis. RNAcentral describes it as "long non-coding RNA (EGRA_LNC005270)". Lineage: Eukaryota; Viridiplantae; Streptophyta; Magnoliopsida; Myrtales; Myrtaceae. The record is from RNAcentral.